ACCGCGAUGGCUCAGCUGAUAGAGCAUCUGCCCGGUUUGCAGAGGGUCGCCGGUUCGUUUCCGGCUCUGGGCG
Molecule: transfer RNA, 73 nt
Filed under: Fasciola gigantica
Lineage: Eukaryota; Metazoa; Platyhelminthes; Trematoda; Plagiorchiida; Fasciolidae
Description: tRNA-Thr
Rfam family: tRNA
About the family: Transfer RNA (tRNA) molecules are approximately 80 nucleotides in length. Their secondary structure includes four short double-helical elements and three loops (D, anti-codon, and T loops).
Source: RNAcentral